CAGAAGCUCCAAGUUUGCCCAUUUGGGCAGAGGGAUCCUCCUCCCAUCACCACUGGUGUGAAUCUACAGGAGGUCUGGAGAAGCACUGAAUGAGCAUGGAGAGAACGUCUGAGAGUCCCCACCGAGGAAGAGGGAGUGAAACUGACAUCUCAGAGGCACUCUUUUAUGUCAGGGUGGCUAAAACCCUGUCUUGUGUUGGACUAAGCCAUCUCAACCUCCACCACUAUGGCUGCAAGCUGCAAUUCUUCCUGAAGAUUGUUGGGAAAAUCUAUUGACUUGUUCUCAGGUGGAGCAAGAUCUGAAGCUACUGCUCAGGUCCUGCCCCAAAACCUGGGAGUCUGUUUCUCAGUGUUCUUCUGCACUCCCUAAGACUAAGAGGCUUAUGUGACUUCAAAUUCCAAAGCACUAACAGCAAUAACAAAUGUUAGGUGCUGACUGGAGUCAACUAGACAAGAUCUUCCCUUGGCUGCAGCCUGGGUAAAGCCUCUUGCCUAAAUUCAGGCUGGCAUAUGAAAUGCCAUUCUCCUUCCCUGAAGGAUAAGGCUUGUUCCAAGGGGCCUGGUACCAUCACUCCCAACUUCUGUAAGGGAAUUCUGAUGGUUCAUUGAAACUAUCUCAAAGGUAGCAUUUUCCCACUGCAAAUGUUAUGCUGCCAGUCAAGAAACCCAGUGCAGCUUUACACAGCACACUACCCCAGACACCAUGUACCCAGGGAGAUCAAUCCCCAGCCUGAAGAGGAAGAUGGGAAUGUGAUAAACUUGAGUCCCACUCUAAGCAUUUUGGACAGACAAGUGCAGCUCAGUGUUCCAUGAAUCAUUAAAUCAACCAGGUUCAAAGAGACCUGUAAGAUCAUC
Pogoniulus pusillus (Red-fronted tinkerbird) is the source of this 854-nucleotide long non-coding RNA. RefSeq lists it as uncharacterized. The record is from RefSeq and is a predicted model, not a curated record. The transcript is spliced from 3 exons. NCBI's taxonomy places the organism in Eukaryota, Metazoa, Chordata, Aves, Piciformes, Lybiidae.